CGCGUCGACGAGAUGGCCUCGCGUCUGAUUAGCUAGUUGGUGGGGUAACGGCCCACCAAGGCGACGAUCAGUAGCCGGACUGAGAGGUUGGCCGGCCACAUUGGGACUGAGACACGGCCCAGACUCCUACGGGAGGCAGCAGUGGGGAAUAUUGGGCAAUGGGCGCAAGCCUGACCCAGCAACGCCGCGUGAAGGAAGAAGGCCAUCUCGUCGACGCG
RNAcentral lists this ribosomal RNA (218 nucleotides) under uncultured bacterium. RNAcentral's name for it is "partial 16S ribosomal RNA". It matches the Rfam family "Bacterial small subunit ribosomal RNA", at positions 213 to 430 of the family's 1533-position model. The record is from RNAcentral.